This 465-nucleotide ribosomal RNA is filed under the name Vreelandella stevensii. RNAcentral describes it as "partial 16S ribosomal RNA". It matches the Rfam family "Bacterial small subunit ribosomal RNA", at positions 338 to 795 of the family's 1533-position model. Lineage: Bacteria; Pseudomonadati; Pseudomonadota; Gammaproteobacteria; Oceanospirillales; Halomonadaceae. The record is from RNAcentral.
CCUACGGGUGGCUGCAGUGGGGAAUAUUGGACAAUGGGGGCAACCCUGAUCCAGCCAUGCCGCGUGUGUGAAGAAGGCCCUCGGGUUGUAAAGCACUUUCAGUGAGGAAGAACGCCUGGUGGUUAAUACCCAUCAGGAAAGACAUCACUCACAGAAGAAGCACCGGCUAACUCCGUGCCAGCAGCCGCGGUAAUACGGAGGGUGCGAGCGUUAAUCGGAAUUACUGGGCGUAAAGCGCGCGUAGGUGGCUUGAUAAGCCGGUUGUGAAAGCCCCGGGCUCAACCUGGGAACGGCAUCCGGAACUGUCAAGCUAGAGUGCAGGAGAGGAAGGUAGAAUUCCCGGUGUAGCGGUGAAAUGCGUAGAGAUCGGGAGGAAUACCAGUGGCGAAGGCGGCCUUCUGGACUGACACUGACACUGAGGUGCGAAAGCGUGGGUAGCAAACAGGAUUAGAUACUCUAGUAGUC